RNAcentral lists this ribosomal RNA (443 nucleotides) under uncultured bacterium. Its description in RNAcentral is "partial 16S ribosomal RNA". It matches the Rfam family "Bacterial small subunit ribosomal RNA", at positions 331 to 792 of the family's 1533-position model. The record is from RNAcentral.
CCAGACUCCUACGGGAGGCAGCAGUGGGGAAUAUUGCACAAUGGGGGAAACCCUGAUGCAGCAACGCCGCGUGAGUGAUGACGGCCUUCGGGUUGUAAAGCUCUGUCUUCAGGGACGAUAAUGACGGUACCUGAGGAGGAAGCCACGGCUAACUACGUGCCAGCAGCCGCGGUAAUACGUAGGGAGCGAGCGUUGUCCGGAAUUACUGGGUGUAAAGGGAGCGUAGGCGGGCGAGAAAGUUGAAUGUUAAAUCUACCGGCUUAACUGGUAGCUGCGUUCAAAACUUCUUGUCUUGAGUGAAGUAGAGGCAGGCGGAAUUCCUAGUGUAGCGGUGAAAUGCGUAGAUAUUAGGAGGAACACCAGUGGCGAAGGCGGCCUGCUGGGCUUUAACUGACGCUGAGGCUCGAAAGCGUGGGGAGCAAACAGGAUUAGAUACCCGAGUA